This 204-nucleotide non-coding RNA is filed under the name uncultured Sporomusa sp. RNAcentral's name for it is "T-box". It matches the Rfam family "T-box leader". Rfam says of the family: Uncharged tRNA acts as the effector for transcription antitermination of genes in the T-box leader family. The record is from RNAcentral. Lineage: Bacteria; Bacillati; Bacillota; Negativicutes; Selenomonadales; Sporomusaceae.
UUAGAUGCAAUGACAGGGCCGCGCAUAAUUAAGGGUUUUCAGAGAGCCGGUGGCAGGUGUGAGCCGGUAACACAAUUAUGUAAUCCACCCUUGAGCAUGCGGCGAUGAGCCGCACGGUUCACGCCCGUUAUGCGUGCCGAGCGGACUGGCAAGCAGUCAAUCAGGGUGGCAACGCGGGAGAAAAAUACAGCUCUCGUCCCUAUA